Molecule: ribosomal RNA, 253 nt
Filed under: uncultured bacterium
Lineage: Bacteria
Description: partial small subunit ribosomal RNA
Rfam family: Bacterial small subunit ribosomal RNA
Source: RNAcentral
GGGACGAACGCUGGCGGCGUGCUUAACACAUGCAAGUCGAGCGGAAAGGCCCUUCGGGGGUACUCGAGCGGCGAACGGGUGAGUAACACGUGAGUAACCUGCCCCUAGCUCUGGGAUAGCUCCGGGAAACCGGGAUUAAUACCAGAUACGACCACUUUAGACAUCUGUCGUGGUGGAAAGGAUUCCGGCUAGGGAUGGGCUCGCGGCCUAUCAGCUUGUGGUGGGUAACGCCUACCAAGGCGACGACGGGUAG